CCACGGCUGGGCCGCAGUAAUCUGCCCUCCCACGUGAGUGGCAGGGUCCCAUGUGUUUAAGCCAUUGUCUUCUGCCAGCAGGGUGGGCAUCGGCAGGAAGCUAGAGUCCAACUGGACGCAGACCCUCCUUGUGGAACAUAAACUCCUAGUGGGGCAGCAUCCUAAUACCCGUGCCAGACACCCCUCUCAAGUCUGGGCCAGGAGUUCCAGCGGGGCUCCCGUGGUGGGUAGCUAGGGUCACCAUUCACUGCCUUCCCAGGUGCGACAACAGGAAGCUGGAUUGGGAGCAGAAUAGCCAGGACCUGAACCAGCGUCUGAUGCUGAAUGCCAGGAUCGCAAGCCCACCACGCCGCCAGGCUAGCUGCGCAGCCUGUGGUGUCUUUAAGAGCCUUCACUUUCUCCCACUGUGUGCAGGGAACGUAUUCCCCAGCGUGUUCAUUUUUACCCAACAGGUAGAUUACAAAACGGCAGGCAAACCAACUGCGUUCCGGUUUGUAUUUCUUUAAUACACAUUUCACUGCCAGCAAGAUUGAGUGGAUUUCCCCAGCUGUGUGUGCGUGCCCUUUGCCGCUUCCUCCUGGUUAGUCAUCGGUUGGAAAGAGCGCCCCAGGUAUUAGGGAAAUGAGCUUUCAUCUCAUUUUCCUCCCUGGACGUCUGGCCUGUGUGCCACGGAUACUCUUUAUUAUCACUUUACUAUUUGUUUUACUUUGUUGAUGGUGUUUUUCAUUGUCCCUCGUGCCUCCUCAAAGAGUCACAUGGGUGGUGGAUGGUAGCCGCCCUUGCACCCAAUUCUCCGGGCAGGCUUUGGGGGGUGCAGGUGGACUCCUGGCAGGUGGCUCAGCGGGGGAGGCAAGACUUGCUGCAUUGGUCCAAUCCCCGGAGCCUUCACUCUUUUGCUGUCCUCACCUGCCCUGCAGGUGACUGGCUUUUCCAGAAGAGCCCUUUUGAUGGUGAAAAGUGAUACGUGUUUUUUCUAAAGUGCUUCUAAAAACUGUUCUUCAAUUCUAUAAUUAGUUGGUCGUUCUUAAAAGCAAAGCCUCCUGCAGCGUAGUUAAAACAGAACUGGGCAAGGGCCCACACCUUGCCCCCCACAGGUGGUCUCUCAGGUCAUUCACCCUUGUGUAACCCUGGCUGCUAGGCAGGAGAGAAAACCCUCUCCCCUGCCCCCCCCCCCCCCGGGGACUGGAUGGGUCCUGCUGGGCCCCGCCUCCAGUGUCUCUGUACCAUAGGAACACCCGAGGGCUGAGUGGAGCGUGAGUUCCGAUUCCAGCCUGACCGCUGGGUGGCUAUCCUGGCGCAGAGCGCCCUCGCUUUCUGCCGCCUCCUUUCUGGAUCCACUUGGCCCUGGGUAGUGGUCGAGGUCAGAAGCUAUCAGCGCUGACAAUCAGCCUGCUUCCUUCUCACCUUCGCUCCGACAGCCUCCGGGCUGAGGAGGGAGGGAGGGAGGCACCUCGCCAAGGUCACACAGCACCACGGUGGCAAGGGCCACAGUGUCUGGUCUCCGGACUCAUGACAUCACUGGCCCGGCUUCCCGGUGGUGGCGGGGCCGCUGCGUAAGCCCGGCUCCUCUGGCCUGCUGUCUCGCCGCUUCUGGGCACCAGAGGGCGCUUCCCCGAAGGCCGCCUGCAGGACUGCAGCCCUGGCUGCCACUGCCCCUGCGGAGGGACGCUCGUGUCGCGGGGCCCCCUCGCGAACCGGAGCCGGUGCUCAUCCCGCUGCCGCCGCACGCCUGGAGGGGUACCCUCGCUUUGUGUUUAGGGUCAACCCCACCCCACCCCCGUAUCCAGGCCACCUUCAGGACGCCUGACUCGGGCCGAGCCCACCCCAUGCUUUGGAAUUGUUGCUCGCUCCGGGUUGUGGGGAAGGUCUGUUGCAGGGAUUUGGGGCGCUGCCGGUGGCCACACACCAUCCCCCAGGUCCUGGAAGGAAAGGCGCGGGACCCGGGUGGGGGGACGCCAGCGGGCCCUGGCGUAUCGUGCUGUGCAACACUGAGCCUCAAUCUUCUCAUCUGCGAAAUGGGGAGGAGGUUGGAG
This is a long non-coding RNA of Ochotona curzoniae (black-lipped pika), 2033 nucleotides long. RefSeq lists it as uncharacterized. The record is from RefSeq and is a predicted model, not a curated record. The transcript is spliced from 2 exons. NCBI's taxonomy places the organism in Eukaryota, Metazoa, Chordata, Mammalia, Lagomorpha, Ochotonidae.